Long non-coding RNA from Hydra vulgaris (swiftwater hydra), 338 nucleotides. RefSeq lists it as uncharacterized. The record is from RefSeq and is a predicted model, not a curated record. Lineage: Eukaryota; Metazoa; Cnidaria; Hydrozoa; Anthoathecata; Hydridae.
GUGAGGAAUUUUGUUGUUGUUUUUUGUUUUUUUUGUGUGCAAAUACAUUUAUGCUUUUUUAGUUUUUUUAAAGAUAUUUAGCAACUUACUUUUGUCAGUUGUGACAGUUUGUCAGUCAGCAAGUGACUUUUGUAACUUUUAAAUGUAUUUUAUUUAGAAAAAUUAGAAGAUUCUGUUGAGAAUCUAAAAAAAUUAGAACAUUCAAUGGGGCUUAUAUUUCAACAACUUAAAAAUUAAGAAAAUUCAAUUGGUAAGGAAAGUACACUUAUGUUUCUUUUUGUUUAAUUUUAACACACAUUUUUUGAUGUUUGUGUGCGGUUUUAUCACUCUAAAAUAAA